This 293-nucleotide ribosomal RNA is filed under the name uncultured bacterium. Its description in RNAcentral is "partial 16S ribosomal RNA". It matches the Rfam family "Archaeal small subunit ribosomal RNA", at positions 455 to 747 of the family's 1478-position model. The record is from RNAcentral.
GUGCCAGCAGCCGCGGUAAUACCGGCAGCCCGAGUGAUGGCCGAUCUUAUUGGGCCUAAAGCGUCCGUAGCUGGCCGACCAAGUCUCCCGGGAAAUCCACCCGCCCAACGGGUGGGCGUCCGGUAGAAACUGGCCGGCUUGGAACCGGAAGGCUCAGAGAGUACGUCCGGGGUAGGAGUGAAAUCCCGUAAUCCCGGACGGACUACCGAUGGCGAAAGCACUCUGAGAAGACGGCUUCGACAGUGAGGGACGAAAGCUCGGGUCUCAAACCGGAUUAGAAACCCCAGUAGUCC